UACAGAGGGUGCAAGCGUUAAUCGGAAUUACUGGGCGUAAAGCGGGCGUAGACGGUUAUGUAAGUCAGGUGGGAAAGCCCCGGGCUCAACCUGGGAAUGCCAUUUGAGACUGCAUAGCUAGGGUACGGAAGAGGGAAGCGGAAUUUCAGGUGUAGCGGUGAAAUGCGUAGAUAUCUGAAGGAACACCAGUGGCGAAAGCGGCUUCCUGGUCCAGUACCGACGUUCAGGCACGAAAGCGUGGGGAGCAAACAGG
RNAcentral lists this ribosomal RNA (253 nucleotides) under uncultured bacterium. RNAcentral describes it as "partial 16S ribosomal RNA". It matches the Rfam family "Bacterial small subunit ribosomal RNA", at positions 524 to 776 of the family's 1533-position model. The record is from RNAcentral.